AAUCCUCCUGGCUAAUUGCAUGUCUCGUUGCAUAAUCGUCACUCGUUUAGCAUGAAUAGCACAUAAAUUCGUAUCUUCAAAUAGAUGAACCAAGAACGCUUCAGCCGCUUCCUGAAGACAUUGCAGUGCCGUAGAUUGCCAGCGCAAACCAACAUCCGUUGAAAAAUUGGCUACAAAUUCUGAAGAUAUCUCUCGUACAAUUCUUGAAAACGGGAGCCUUUGUAUUAAUAAGUCUGUAGACCUUUGAUAUUUUCGAAUCUCUCUUAACGCCGUAGUACCUGGACGAUAUCUCUUUUUACGUGGCCGUGGAAUAGGAUCUCCAGGCUCAGCCAUUAAAGAUUUCUUUGCCAUAUUAAGUUGUUCCUAUCAAUUUCUUUUGGGAAUAAAGGUUUUUAAACAGUAAUUGUUGGAACAAAUGCAAGAGCUCGAUACAAUGAGUUUUGGUUUUGACAGGGGUUUGACGCGUCGCGACUAGCAUAG
Molecule: non-coding RNA, 480 nt
Organism: Schizosaccharomyces pombe (fission yeast)
Lineage: Eukaryota; Fungi; Ascomycota; Schizosaccharomycetes; Schizosaccharomycetales; Schizosaccharomycetaceae
Source: the annotation of a GenBank genome assembly